This is a long non-coding RNA of Prionailurus viverrinus (fishing cat), 698 nucleotides long. RefSeq lists it as uncharacterized. The transcript has 3 exons. The record is from RefSeq and is a predicted model, not a curated record. NCBI's taxonomy places the organism in Eukaryota, Metazoa, Chordata, Mammalia, Carnivora, Felidae.
AGCCCUAGAUUCCAGAGACGAGGAGGACCUUCCCACCCGUUCACUUCAGGAAGACCAUGAACCUUCCCCCUUGCAUCGCCAUUGGCUGAAUCAGGUCGGCUCUGCUGGCUGCAGACUCGUUCUCCGUUUAUCAAAGGCUGUAGCAGGUGCAUUAAAACGUAUCAGCCCAGCCCCAGGCAGAUGGAGGCGACACGGAGAGCUUGGAAUCGAAAGGAGCUGCUGAUCACCGUGACCCCAAGAUACACCUGCUUUCUCUUUGUUAAGGAAUUAGACACGAUACUUUCAUCUUUAAAAACAGAUCAAAGAAAGAAAGAAGGGAAGGAAAGGAAGGAAGGAAGGAAGGAAGGAAGGAAGAAAAUGCCUGCAAAUCCUUGGUCGUACAUACUUUCUGGACUUGUUUCUGUGAGGCCGUGAGGCCGUGAGCCAGGCCACAGAGCAGAGAGAUCCCGUUUGUGGGUGAGGUCAAUGCGGAGGAAAGCAGCCAAGAACUGGAGAGAAAUGGAAUCUUGUGGACAUUAUGAGGACUCUUGGAUCCAGCCAUGCCUGAAGCCGUUACCCCUGGAGCAGGUUUUCUCAACCUUGCUACCAUUGUCAGUUCUGGAAUAGAUCUUUCUUUGCUGCGGGGGACUGUCCUGUACCUUGUAGGACAUUUAACAACAUCCUUAGCCUCUGCCCACCAGAUAGCACGCUGCACACCC